RNAcentral lists this transfer RNA (73 nucleotides) under Pseudomonadota bacterium. Its description in RNAcentral is "tRNA-Arg". It matches the Rfam family "tRNA". Rfam says of the family: Transfer RNA (tRNA) molecules are approximately 80 nucleotides in length. Their secondary structure includes four short double-helical elements and three loops (D, anti-codon, and T loops). Further hydrogen bonds mediate the characteristic L-shaped molecular structure. tRNAs have two regions of fundamental functional importance: the anti-codon, which is responsible for specific mRNA codon recognition, and the 3' end, to which the tRNAs corresponding amino acid is attached (by aminoacyl-tRNA synthetases). tRNAs cope with the degeneracy of the genetic code in two manners: having more than one tRNA (with a specific anti-codon) for a particular amino acid; and 'wobble' base-pairing, i.e. permitting non-standard base-pairing at the 3rd anti-codon position. Lineage: Bacteria; Pseudomonadati; Pseudomonadota. RNAcentral also lists the same sequence under 3 other names. The record is from RNAcentral.
GCCCCAGUAGCUCAAGGGACAGAGCAACGGUCUUCUAAACCGUUGGUUGCAGGUUCGAGUCCUGCCUGGGGCG